This 253-nucleotide ribosomal RNA is filed under the name uncultured bacterium. RNAcentral's name for it is "partial 16S ribosomal RNA". It matches the Rfam family "Bacterial small subunit ribosomal RNA", at positions 524 to 776 of the family's 1533-position model. The record is from RNAcentral.
UACGGAGGGUGCAAGCGUUAUCCGGAUUCACUGGGUUUAAAGGGUGCGUAGGCGGUUCUUUAAGUCCGGGGUGAAAGCCCACUGCUCAACAGUGGAACUGCCCUGGAAACUGGAGAACUUGAGUACAGACGAGGGCGGCGGAAUGGAUGGUGUAGCGGUGAAAUGCAUAGAUACCAUCCAGAACCCCGAUUGCGAAGGCAGCUGCCUAGACUGUAACUGACGCUGAGGCACGAAAGCGUGGGGAGCGAACAGG